GAUGAACGCUGGCGGCGUGCUUAACACAUGCAAGUCGAACGAAGCACUUAAGACAGAUUCUUCGGAUGAAGUUUUUUGUGACUGAGUGGCGGACGGGUGAGUAACGCGUGGGUAACCUGCCUCAUACAGGGGGAUAACAGUUAGAAAUGACUGCUAAUACCGCAUAAGCGCACAGGGUCGCAUGACCUGGUGUGAAAAACUCUGGUGGUAUGAGAUGGACCCGCGUCUGAUUAGCUAGUUGGCGAGGUAACGGCCCACCAAGGCGACGAUCAGUAGCCGACCUGAGAGGGUGAUCGGCCACAUUGGGACUGAGACACGGCCCAAACUCCUACGGGAGGCAGCAGUGGGGAAUAUUGCACAAUGGGGGAAACCCUGAUGCAGCGACGCCGCGUGAAGGAAGAAGUAUUUCGGUAUGUAAACUUCUAUCAGCAGGGAAGAAAAUGACGGUACCUGACUAAGAAGCCCCGGCUAACUACGUGCCAGCAGCCGCGGUAAUACGUAGGGGGCAAGCGUUAUCCGGAUUUACUGGGUGUAAAGGGAGCGUAGGCGGUCUGACAAGUCAGAAGUGAAAGCCCGGGGCUCAACUCCGGGACUGCUUUUGAAACUGCCGGACUAGAUUGCAGGAGAGGUAAGUGGAAUUCCUAGUGUAGCGGUGAAAUGCGUAGAUAUUAGGAGGAACACCAGUGGCGAAGGCGGCUUACUGGACUGUAAAUGACGCUGAGGCUCGAAGCGUGGGGAGCAAACAGG
RNAcentral lists this ribosomal RNA (747 nucleotides) under uncultured Lachnospiraceae bacterium. RNAcentral describes it as "bacterial SSU rRNA". It matches the Rfam family "Bacterial small subunit ribosomal RNA", at positions 28 to 776 of the family's 1533-position model. The record is from RNAcentral. Lineage: Bacteria; Bacillati; Bacillota; Clostridia; Lachnospirales; Lachnospiraceae.